Molecule: unclassified non-coding RNA, 253 nt
Filed under: uncultured bacterium
Lineage: Bacteria
Description: contains 16S-23S intergenic spacer region
Rfam family: Bacterial small subunit ribosomal RNA
Source: RNAcentral
UACGAAGGGAGCGAGCGUUGUUCGGAUUUACUGGGCGUAAAGGGCGCGCAGGCGGGGCGGCAAGUCGAACGUGAAAACUGACGGCUCAACCAUCAGAUUGCGUUCGAAACUACCGUUCUUGAGUCCAGGAGAGGAGAGCGGAAUCCCAGGUGUAGCGGUGAAAUGUGUAGAUAUCUGGGAGAACACCGGUGGCGAAGGCGGCUCUCUGGCCUGGUACUGACGCUGAGGCGCGAAAGCUAGGGUAGCAAACAGG